UACGGAGGGGGCUAGCGUUGUUCGGAAUUACUGGGCGUAAAGCGCACGUAGGCGGACUGUUAAGUCAGGGGUGAAAUCCUGGAGCUCAACUCCAGAACUGCCUUUGAUACUGAAGAUCUUGAGUCCGGGAGAGGUGAGUGGAACUGCGAGUGUAGAGGUGAAAUUCGUAGAUAUUCGCAAGAACACCAGUGGCGAAGGCGGCUCACUGGCCCGGUACUGACGCUGAGGUGCGAAAGCGUGGGGAGCAAACAGG
This 253-nucleotide ribosomal RNA is filed under the name uncultured bacterium. Its description in RNAcentral is "partial 16S ribosomal RNA". It matches the Rfam family "Bacterial small subunit ribosomal RNA", at positions 524 to 776 of the family's 1533-position model. The record is from RNAcentral.